Molecule: non-coding RNA, 30 nt
Filed under: Macaca fascicularis (crab-eating macaque)
Lineage: Eukaryota; Metazoa; Chordata; Mammalia; Primates; Cercopithecidae
Also listed under: 1 other name
Source: RNAcentral
UGCAACAGAACAUGGGUUUUCAGCUUGGAA